This is a non-coding RNA of Bactrocera oleae (olive fruit fly), 1451 nucleotides long. Lineage: Eukaryota; Metazoa; Arthropoda; Insecta; Diptera; Tephritidae. The record is from RefSeq and is a predicted model, not a curated record.
AUAAAUGCGUUCUUAUGUAAAACUACCAUGUUUUGCUACCCGUUAACAAUUCGUCAGCUGUCAAGUAAAACUUAAGCACUCAGCCCGCAGGCACUCGCAAAUUCUUCGAGCUUGCAUUUAUUUUUUAUAAUAUUAUACUACCUUAUUUUAAUAUGGACUUGUAACCACAGGGAACAUACAAAAGUAUUCACAAAACAUUUGUAAACUGCUGCAACGGCAAAUGUGCAAAAUUAUAAGAAGAAAAAAUAACUCAUCUGUUCAUCAUUAAAGUGUAAUUUAUAAAAGCUUUGACUUUCGAAAUAAAAAAAAUAAAAACGGCAACAAUAAAAUGUGCGGUGUGUGUGUGGCGGCUGACGAAAGAUGACCAAACCAUGUAUAAGCGGUCAUUGUCUGAGCGCAUGCGUACGUUAUACUCUACAUAUCUGCCGUUCAAAUGUAAUGUACGUGUGUGUUUUGUUUUAACGUCAAGUAGGCAGAAGUUGUGGUCGUGUAUUUUGAAUGACUGACACUUUGCGGUUAAACGCUGGCGACUGUGGAUCUUAUGUGUCUAUAGAUAUAUACAUACAUACAUAUAUAAAUAUGUGUGUUUUUCAAUAUAAGUGACGAAUCGAAUAAGCAGCUGGCAUACAUCAUACACAUAAGUACUGACAUGAUACGAGUUAUAACGGAAGAGAGUGAGUAAGAAAUGAGCUUCUAUAUAUAAAUUUUGUUACGAAUAAGGAGAGGUCAAAAACAUGAACAAAUAAUGGAAAAUUAAAAACAAAGGCUUCUUAAAAACAUGUAGUUUUUGUAGCGAUGUAAAAAAUAUAUAAUAAAGCUAUCUAUUUCUAUAAAAUAAUUAGUUUCGAAGGGACACGGAGGAACAGAUGAAUUUACGUAUAUAUAAAUGUGAAAUUAAUUUGUAAGAGCCUUUAUAUCAUGGAAAGAGCAUUGGCUAUUUGUGUUGCGAAUACAUUUCUGAGGGCAUAUAAACCAACAAAGUUUUCAAAAGUUAUCAGCAACUGAGAAGUAGAAUCUAGAAGCUGCACCAAAUGCCAAUCACUUUUUAAAGAACUAGUAGUAAUCUAGUUGAAAAACAUUUUCUAAUCUAGAACUCUGCAAUAUAUACUAUUGGUGUGAUAUUUUUCUUAAAAAUAACUUUUUAUUAAAACUGUUUUUCUAAACUAGAAAUUGAAUUAUUAAAUAUAUACCUACACUACUACUACUGACAAUAAUCUGAGAUGUAUUUAGGAAAUUACAAAUCUUGCAGAAUUUUGUGCGGAACAAAUAUUUACACUAUUUACUAAAUAAAAAUAUAUUAUUAUUAAAUAUAAAUCAUAAAUAUGUAUUAUAUAAACACCUAUGUAUGUAUGUAUGUACAAGGGGCACAACUAAUAUGAUCACUUAAAAAAGGCUUUUUUCAAGGUAGUCUGGUAACUUAUGCCUAUUUUCAUGACUUCUUUGGAGGGUGG